This 320-nucleotide ribosomal RNA is filed under the name uncultured eukaryote. RNAcentral's name for it is "partial 18S ribosomal RNA". It matches the Rfam family "Eukaryotic small subunit ribosomal RNA", at positions 1470 to 1796 of the family's 1831-position model. The record is from RNAcentral.
CCCUUAGACGUUCUGGGCCGCACGCGCGCUACACUGAACAGUUCAACAAGUCUUAACCUUGGCCGAUAGGUCUGGGUAAUCUUUGAACGCUGUUCGUGAUUGGGAUAGACCUUUGCAAUUAUGGGUCUUCAACGAGGAAUUCCUAGUAAACGCAAGUCAUCAGCUUGCAUUGAUUACGUCCCUGCCCUUUGUACACACCGCCCGUCGCACCUACCGAUUGAAUGGUCCGGUGAAAUCUCGGGACGGCGGCUUGGUCGCUUGCGUCCGACUGCUGAAACUUGAUUAAACCAUNUNAUUUAGNGGAAGGUGAANUCGUANCA